GUACGGGUGGCACAGUGGCUAGUGCAAUUGCCUCACGAAAAGGGAGUUCCGGGUUCGAGUCCUGGCCAGCCUC
Molecule: transfer RNA, 73 nt
Filed under: Anguilla anguilla (European eel)
Lineage: Eukaryota; Metazoa; Chordata; Actinopteri; Anguilliformes; Anguillidae
Description: tRNA-OTHER
Source: RNAcentral